GGGACGCCUUCCCAGAAAAAAAAAUAAAAUAGCCGUCCCAGACGUCAUAAUUAUUUGGACUACCCAAUUAUGAUCAAUUAUUCCAUUCAUUUAUUGUUUAUUGUGAAUAAUUACAAACUGCGCUGAAGUUUUAAAGAUUAUUGGAUAAUUGACUUGUUCUAUAGGUACAUGUACCUAACUUACCGGGUGACAAUACAAGUUGUACCCUAAUAUUGCCUAUUGGUAUAAAUUUAAAUGCUUAGUGAUAUAUAAAAAAGAAGAUGUGGUAUGAUUGCCAUUAUGGACUUUGCUCAUGGUUGAAGGGUUGUACACUGACCUAUAGUUGUUAAUGUCUGUGUCAUUUAAGUCUCCUGUGGAUAGUUGUCUCAUUGGGCCAAUGGGACAACUGUCCACAAGAGACCAAAAUGGCCAAUGAGACAAGAGACCAAAAUGACUGGGACAUUAAAUAACAACUAUAUAGGUCACCAUACAGCCUUCAACAAUGAGCAAAGCCCAUACCGCAUAGUCAGCUAUAACAGGCCCCGAUAAGACAAUGUAAAACAAUUCAAAAGAGAAAACUUAAGAUAUGUGCAUUGUUCGUAUUAUUGUGUAUAUGAAGAUUAAUAAGAUUAAAGUAAACAAUGUGGUAUGUUUCCAAAAUAAAAGCUAUCCAACAAUGACAAACUGAUGUCGAUGCAAUUACUAGCCAUACAAAUGAUAGAUACAUUUUGGUCACCAUACUUCCUUCAUUUAUAUUAUGGCUAUUGAGUAAAUUUUUGCAAACAUUUCAAACCUGUACAUGUACAUGCUGUUUAUGUUCAUAGUACUACAGUUCAGUGACUCAAGUUUAAAAUGCAUAAGCUUAAGGUCAUAACAGAAUUUAAACUUACUAUCAUAUUUGUAUAAACAUCAUGAUGAAUAUUUACAUUCUCUAAAAGAGUUUUAAUUUUACUUAACUAAUACAGAAGAUGAUGGAUUCCCCAACAGAAAUCUUGAUGACGGAUCAAGGUGAAAAAAUUGAAGAAUUGCAUCAAUAGUUACAGAGAAUCGAUUUGCACGCAGAAACAGGUGCUCAAAGAUAAGGGAAUACAACAGCCAUCCAUGCUCCUUCCAUGUAAAGUAAGCAGCUUUCCCUGAUGCUUAUAGGCAUACACGAUCUAGUCUGGGCAUGUAAAACAGCAGCUGGUUCUAUUUUGAAAAUCUACAAAAUAGAGCUAAGGUCCUUUAAGCCAGGAAACUGCUAGUAUCUGAAGAGGACAAUUUAAGACAGGCCAUGAAAAUUGAUUAAAUGUCAAGUGGGAACAGUGAUUUUGUAAAUAAACUCGCCUGAUCACAAAACUUCAGGUUUGACUGUCACAAGAUUUUAAAUCUUACAUGGAUAGACUAAAGUCAUUUACUAGACUGUAAAUACUAGAGACAGCUGAAUGCACAAGGCAAAAAGCUGAGGUCUAAGUGAAUCAGAGAGGCCUUGUCACAAGAAAUGUACAGAACUUGCAUGUUUUUUUUUCCUUAAGGGCAUAUGACAAAAAAAUUGAGAGAUGUCAAUGAAAAUUUCUUUGAAUUUAAAAAAGGGCCAAUUCAAAGGUACACUUUUGGAAUUUGCAAGAACAAAAAUACCUUCAUGUUUACUUUUGAAUUAUAGUUGACAAUCUUCACUUUGAGGGGAACCUCUGAAAAUAAGUCAAAUGGAGGGGUUUGCCAGGUUUAUUGAAAACGAUUAUUUUUUAAAGUAAAACAGAUGAAUUAUUGCUCUUUAAUUUCAACAUUUGCAUUUUACUAUAAAUAUUAUUUACAAGUGCAGCAUAUCGGUGACAUCAGAUUAUGGUAUUGUGUUUGGUUAAGCUACAUAUUUCUUUUUACAUAAACUUUCUGUUGCCUUUACUGGUUAAUAAAAUGCUGAAUAAUAAUUUGAGUGUGGCUCAUUUCAGUGUCUAGUAUUUACUGUCAAUUUUUGUGAUGAUUUUACCAUAUUAUUUAUAAUGGCUUGGCCAAAGGGAGAUAACUUUUUAUAUUUUCACACUAAAAUGCUGAAUAAUAAUUUGAGUGUGGCUCAUUUCAGUGUCCAGUAUUUGCUGUCAAUUUUUGUGAUGAUUUUACCAUAUCAUUUAUAAUGGCUUGGCCAAAGGGAGAUAACUUUUUUAUAUUUUCACAUUAAAAUGCUGAAUAAUAAUUUGAGUGUGGCUCAUUUCAGUGUCUAGUAUUUGCUGUCACUUUUUUCCUGUAAAAUUUCACCAUAUUAUUUAUAAUCGCUUGGUCAAAGGGAGAUAACUUUUUAUAUUUUCACAUUAAAUCAUCUGCGAAGAGGAUUAUGUAAAAUGUGAAUUUUAUGGUUCAAUAAAAGCAAAAUAAGUUACUGCCAUUCAUUAUCAAUCAAUUUCAAUAAAAAAUAAGGCUCAAAGAACUUUUUAUAUUACUUAUAUUAACAAUAACAAUGUACACAUGUGUUGACGUGUUAAUACACAACAUCAGAGUGGGUGUGUCACCAUAAAAUGUAAACAUUGUAAAUAAAACUGAUACUUUUAACUAAUCAGGAAACAGUUAAUACACCACAUAUAUUUUUAAACCUAUAAACUUAUUAUUUUCUUCAAUUGUUUAAGUUCAUUCAGUAUUGAUAAAUUUUUGAUUGACAUUACAUAAUUUUGUUAAUAAAAGUUUAUUUGUGUGCUAUUUUAUUUAAUUGUACAUAUUUGAAAUAUAACAUUACACCUUAUUAUUUUUAUUCUUGCAUACAGCACUUGGAAUGAAAUCUCAUACCAUUUUAAUUAAAAUGUUCCAGCAGCAGGAUUGUUUUUGAAUUAAGCAAUUAUGUUAAUUAUGUAAAUAACGUAGUUUUUUGUUUUUUGCUUUUUGAAGAUUUUAAAUUUGACAAAUAAUGCUAGCAAGGGACAUUAUUAUUAUUAUUUUUUUUAUGAUGCCAAACUUGAAAUUUUAAAGUGGCUAUGUUUGCUAUUUGUUAUAACCCUAUUGUUAUGAUUCUUAAACCAUCUAUACAAGUAAGCAUUUUGAUUUGUCACUUACCAUUAUUUUAUUGAUUAGUUUGAAUUUGAUGAGGUUCUUCGAUGUAGAACUGGACUUAUUUAAACAAAAAAUGUUUUUUUUUUAAUUGUUUGAUAGUAAAAUUGUAUUUCAAACAUUUGACAUUUUAUUUAAUUUAUCAUCAAAACAACUCUUAUUUGUCAGUAUCUGAAUAAAAUUAAUUUGUUA
Long non-coding RNA from Mytilus trossulus (common blue mussel), 3183 nucleotides. RefSeq lists it as uncharacterized. The record is from RefSeq and is a predicted model, not a curated record. Lineage: Eukaryota; Metazoa; Mollusca; Bivalvia; Mytilida; Mytilidae. The transcript is spliced from 3 exons.